This 500-nucleotide ribosomal RNA is filed under the name uncultured bacterium. RNAcentral's name for it is "partial 16S ribosomal RNA". It matches the Rfam family "Bacterial small subunit ribosomal RNA", at positions 30 to 523 of the family's 1533-position model. The record is from RNAcentral.
AUUGAACGCUGGCGGAAUGCUUUACACAUGCAAGUCGAACGGCAGCACGGACUUCGGUCUGGUGGCGAGUGGCGAACGGGUGAGUAAUGUAUCGGAACGUGCCCAGUCGUGGGGUAUAACGUAGUGAAAAUUACGCUAAUACCGCAUACGAUCUAUGGAUGAAAGCGGGGGAUCGCAAGACCUCGCGCGAUUGGAGCGGCCGAUAUCAGAUUAGGUAGUUGGUGGGGUAAAGGCCCACCAAGCCAACGAUCUGUAGCCGGUCUGAGAGGACGACCAGCCACACUGGAACUGAGACACGGCCCAGACUCCUACGGGAGGCAGCAGUGGGGAAUUUUGGACAAUGGGCGAAAGCCUGAUCCAGCCAUUCCGCGUGCAGGAUGAAGGCCCUCGGGUUGUAAACUGCUUUUGUACAGAACGAAAAGGUUUCUACUAAUACUAGGAGCUCAUGACGGUACUGUAAGAAUAAGCACCGGCUAACUACGUGCCAGCCGCCGCCGUAA